Molecule: ribosomal RNA, 429 nt
Filed under: Gemmatimonadota bacterium
Lineage: Bacteria; Pseudomonadati; Gemmatimonadota
Description: Gemmatimonadetes bacterium partial 16S ribosomal RNA
Rfam family: Bacterial small subunit ribosomal RNA
Source: RNAcentral
UAGGGAAUCUUCGGCAAUGGACGAAAGUCUGACCGAGCAACGCCGCGUGAGUGAAGAAGGUUUUCGGAUCGUAAAACUCUGUUGUUAGAGAAGAACAAGGACGUUAGUAACUGAACGUCCCCUGACGGUAUCUAACCAGAAAGCCACGGCUAACUACGUGCCAGCAGCCGCGGUAAUACGUAGGUGGCAAGCGUUGUCCGGAUUUAUUGGGCGUAAAGCGAGCGCAGGCGGUUUCUUAAGUCUGAUGUGAAAGCCCCCGGCUCAACCGGGGAGGGUCAUUGGAAACUGGGAGACUUGAGUGCAGAAGAGGAGAGUGCAAUUCCAUGUGUAGCGGUGAAAUGCGUAGAUAUAUGGAGGAACACCAGUGGCGAAGGCGGCUCUCUGGUCUGUAACUGACGCUGAGGCUCGAAGGCGUGGGGAGCAAACAGG